RNAcentral lists this ribosomal RNA (273 nucleotides) under uncultured bacterium. Its description in RNAcentral is "partial 16S ribosomal RNA". It matches the Rfam family "Bacterial small subunit ribosomal RNA", at positions 81 to 353 of the family's 1533-position model. The record is from RNAcentral.
AAGUUUGAUGGCGACCGGCGCACGGGUGAGUAACACGUAUCCAACCUGCCGAUGACUCGGGGAUAGCCUUUCGAAAGAAAGAUUAAUACCCGAUGGCAUAGUUCUUCCGCAUGGUAGAACUAUUAAAGAAUUUCGGUCAUCGAUGGGGAUGCGUUCCAUUAGGCAGUUGGUGGGGUAACGGCCCACCAAACCUUCGAUGGAUAGGGGUUCUGAGAGGAAGGUCCCCCACAUUGGAACUGAGACACGGUCCAAACUCCUACGGGAGGCAGCAUG